Mustela erminea (ermine) is the source of this 386-nucleotide long non-coding RNA. RefSeq lists it as uncharacterized. The transcript is spliced from 3 exons. The record is from RefSeq and is a predicted model, not a curated record. Lineage: Eukaryota; Metazoa; Chordata; Mammalia; Carnivora; Mustelidae.
UCCAGUUGGAAGAAACUUGAUUUGAACCAGCCAGCCACUUCUUCCUUGAAUAUUGUACCCAUCCCCACAGGCACUCAUGUGAAUGGACCCCUAGACAGAAGGAAAAGGAGACUCCUGUUUUGUAGUUGUGCUGAGUCAUCUGGUUCCAUUUAAAAGAAGUCAUCCUAACUCAGGCUCUCUGCUGGUAAGAGGCCCUUGGUCGAUGUUGGGCCCCAUGUUUCAGGGUCACAGAUUGCACUUGGGUCCUUCAGCUCUCCGGCCUGGCCUUGUUCAUCACCGCUAAGACUGGGACCCUGAAGCCCAGUGCCUCUUGGACACCUACACAGGAGGACGAUUUCUGGGAAGAGGAGGCAUCAUGGGAAACCCUGUCCCAGGAGACCAUUCCU